UGCGUAGGCGGCUUUUUAAGUCGGAUGUGAAAUCCCUGAGCUUAACUUAGGAAUUGCAUUCGAUACUGGGAAGCUAGAGUAUGGGAGAGGAUGGUAGAAUUCCAGGUGUAGCGGUGAAAUGCGUAGAGAUCUGGAGGAAUACCGAUGGCGAAGGCAGCUACCUGGGCCAACAUUGACGCUGAGGCGCGAAAGCGUGGGGAGCAAACAGGAUUAGAUACCCUCGUA
RNAcentral lists this ribosomal RNA (225 nucleotides) under uncultured Acinetobacter sp. RNAcentral's name for it is "partial 16S ribosomal RNA". It matches the Rfam family "Bacterial small subunit ribosomal RNA", at positions 568 to 792 of the family's 1533-position model. The record is from RNAcentral. Lineage: Bacteria; Pseudomonadati; Pseudomonadota; Gammaproteobacteria; Moraxellales; Moraxellaceae.